RNAcentral lists this unclassified non-coding RNA (336 nucleotides) under soil metagenome. RNAcentral's name for it is "partial contains 5.8S ribosomal RNA, internal transcribed spacer 2, and large subunit ribosomal RNA". The stretch from base 1 to 120 matches the Rfam family "5.8S ribosomal RNA", at positions 35 to 154 of the family's 154-position model. The record is from RNAcentral.
GAUGAAGAACGCAGUGAAAUGCGAUAAGUAAUGUGAAUUGCAGAAUUCAGUGAAUCAUCGAAUCUUUGAACGCACAUUGCGCCCGCCAGUAUUCUGGCGGGCAUGCCUGUUCGAGCGUCAUUUCAACCAUCAAGCCCCAGGCUUGUGUUGGGGACCUGCGGCUGCCGCAGGCCCUGAAAACCAGUGGCGGGCUCGCUGUCACACCGGGCGUAGUAGAUUUUAUCUCGCUCUGGGCGUGCUGCGGGUUCCGGCCGUUAAAAAACCCUUUUAACCCAAGGUUGACCUCGGAUCAGGUAGGAAUACCCGCUGAACUUAAGCAUAUCAAUAAGCGGAGGA